Molecule: non-coding RNA, 26 nt
Filed under: Homo sapiens (human)
Lineage: Eukaryota; Metazoa; Chordata; Mammalia; Primates; Hominidae
Source: RNAcentral
UGGCCACUACGUAUCUCACAAGAAUA